UUCCCGAAAUUCCCGACGGACGCGGCGGCCCCUCCCCCACAGAGAGACCCCCCCGGAGCCGCCCGAGCCCCCGGCCAAGGUCACCUGCGACAUCCGCCUGCGCGUCCGCGCCGAGUACUGCUGUACUGGGUUGUACUGGGUUAGACUGGGUUAUACUGGGUUAUACUGGGUUAGACUGGGUUAGACUGGGUUAUACUGGGUUAUACCACUCCAUACUGGUUUAUACUGGUCUAUACCAGUCUAUACUGGUUCUAACUGGUUCUAACUGGUUCUAACUGCUCGUUCUCCCCUCCCCAGACAUCCGCCUGUGCGUCCGCGCCGAGUACUGCUGUACUGGGUUAUACUGGGUCAUACUGGUUCAUAGGAGUCUAUACUGGUUCUAACUGGUUUAUACAGCUCUAUACCGGUUUAUACUGGUUCUAACUGGUUCUAACUGGUUCUAACUGGUUCUAACUGCUCGUUUCCCCCUCCCCAGACAUCCGCCUGCGCGUCCGCGCCGAGUACUGCUGUACUGGGUUAUACUGGGUUAGACUGGGUUAUACUGGGUUAUACUGGGUUAUACUGGGUUAGACUGGGUUAUACUGGGUUAUACUGGGUUAUACUGGGUUAGACUGGGUUAGACUGGGUUAGACUGGGCUAGACUGGGUUAUACCACUCCAUACUGGUUUAUACUGGUCUAUACCAGUCUAUACUGGUUCUAACUGGUUCUAACUGGUUCUAACUGGUUCUAACUGGUUCUAACUGGUCGUUCUCCCCUCCCCAGACAUCCACCUGCGCGUCCGCGCCGAGUACUGCUGUACUGGGUUAUACUGGGUUAUACUGGUCCAUACUGAUCUAUAGUGGUUUAUACUGGUCCAUACAGCUCUAUACUGGUUUAUACUGGUUCUAACUGGUUCUAACUGGUUCUAACUGGUUCUAACUGGUUCUAACUGGUUCUAACUGCUCGUUCUCCCCUCCCCAGACAUCCGCCUGCGCGUCCGCGCCGAGUACUGCUGUACUGGGUUAUACUGGGUUAUACUGGUCCAUACUGAUCUAUAGUGGUUUAUACUGGUCCAUACAGCUCUAUACUGGUUUAUACUGGUUCUGACUGGUUCUAACUGGUUCUAACUGGUUCUAACUGGUUCUAACUGGUUCUAACUGCUCGUUCUCCCCUCCCCAGACAUCCGCCUGCGCGUCCGCGCCGAGUACUGCGAGCACGACCGCGCCCUGCGCCGCGGCGUGGCCUCCAGCCGUCCGCGGGGGCCCGGCCGCGCUCUGGACGUUUUCGGCCAGGCC
This 1275-nucleotide long non-coding RNA is filed under the name Cyanistes caeruleus (blue tit). RNAcentral describes it as "lncRNA (ENSCCEG00000002797.1)". Lineage: Eukaryota; Metazoa; Chordata; Aves; Passeriformes; Paridae. The record is from RNAcentral.